This 202-nucleotide long non-coding RNA is filed under the name Mytilus galloprovincialis (Mediterranean mussel). Lineage: Eukaryota; Metazoa; Mollusca; Bivalvia; Mytilida; Mytilidae. The record is from RNAcentral.
CUGAGUUUCAUACCCAGUCGAAGAUUUAGCAAAGGUAACUAUUUCACAUUUUUCAAAAACUCGAUUUGACCAAGCGCUUCUAUAUAUUUGAUGUGCAGAUACAGAAUUCGAAGUUUGUAUAUAUUUCAUUUUAUUGUCUCUUACUUAAUAAUUUAUGAAUUGACCGAUGGUUUUUUUCCCAUUUUAGAUAAAAAAAAACAAA